This 467-nucleotide ribosomal RNA is filed under the name uncultured bacterium. RNAcentral describes it as "partial 16S ribosomal RNA". It matches the Rfam family "Bacterial small subunit ribosomal RNA", at positions 28 to 507 of the family's 1533-position model. The record is from RNAcentral.
GAUGAACGCUGGCGGCGUGCUUAACACAUGCAAGUCGAACGAUGAGGCCCGGCUUUCUGGGUGAGUUAGUGGCGAACGGGUGAGUAACACGGGAGUAACCUGCCCUUGACUAUGGGAUAAGACUCGGAAACUGGGUCUAAUACCGGAUACAACCCUCUAGCGAGUGUCAUGGUGGUGGAAAGCUUUUGUGGUUUUGGAUGGACUCGCGGCAUAUCAGCUUGUUGGUGGGGUAAUUGCCUACAAAGGCGAGGACGGGUAGCCGGCCUGAGAGGGUGACCGGCGACACUGGGACUGAGACAGGGCCCAGACUCCUACGGGAGGCAGCAGUGGGGAAUAUUGCGCAAUGGGCGCAAGCCUGAGGCAGCGACGCCGCGUGAGGGAUGACGGCCUUCGGGGUGUAAACCGCUUCCAGUAGGGAAGAAGCGAAAGUGACGGUACCUGCAGAAGAAGCGCCGGCUAACUACGGG